This is a long non-coding RNA of Sinocyclocheilus rhinocerous, 2027 nucleotides long. RefSeq lists it as uncharacterized. The transcript is spliced from 2 exons. The record is from RefSeq and is a predicted model, not a curated record. Lineage: Eukaryota; Metazoa; Chordata; Actinopteri; Cypriniformes; Cyprinidae.
GUUAAAGAAUUUAGCCUUAGAAAUGUAUGUAUCAAAUAUACAGUAGGCUAAAAAAAGUAGUAGUUUGGUGAUGGAAAAAAAGCAUGAUUAAAGCCAUGCUAUGUUUCUUCUAAUAAGAUGAUGUUUGCUUUUGUGAUUCACAGUGGUCAGGGCAGUUUGCUUCAGCCAUUCAUCUACUACAGGUUUCUCACUCUGCGCUAUACCUCAAGACGCAACCCAUAUUGUCGGACUUUGUUCACGGAGCUGAGGAUUUUACUGGAGCAUUUUGUGAUGAAGCCCAGCUGUCCGGCCUUCUUCAGGAGGAUGUGCCUCAACAGCAUUGCCUUUAUUAGCCGCCUUGCUCCCACCGGUGUCUAACAUACACAAACUACUAGACACAAUUCACAGAUUGGGAGUUUCAAGAUUAACUUACAAACAAGAUGGCCAGGUCUGAUCACUCAGAGAUGGAUGUCCUCUUCUGCACUGAGCCGUUUGCUAUGUUUGGAGAGACCAUCAAUCUGACAGACUACAUCCAAAAACAAAACAGCAAGAUGUAUCUCUGUGGACAGUUGUCUGUUAAGGGGGUACAACCGUUUUAGUUCAUUAGAGCUUUUAUAUUCAUAUUGAUUUUCAGGGGGUAGAGAAGGAGCCCUUGGGAUGUUUAAUUUUAACUGCUAGGGUAAAUAGAUAUAGCUCUUUAUAGCUUGUUUUUCUAAUGAAAUCAUACCACUGAGAAAUCAAAUUUCAGCUAUCAUUAGGCUUGUCUGUUCUUUAGUUUGAUUCCAUUUUUUAUGUUCUUGCUAAAAUUGUUUCUAUUGUUGUAUUGGAUUACCCUGAAAAUCUUGAUGUACCUUGCCCUGAGCCUUUCCCAACAGUUGACAAUGAUCUGAAUGCCAUGAGUUCAGGAAGUUUCAUAUGUAACUUGAGGAUGCCUUUUUCAUGUGAACAGAUGAUUGAGGUGUUGUCAAAUAUUCUGUGAUUCUCAUCUAUUACAUAGAGCCCUAUACUCAACUGUUCUUUGCCUUCAAUGCUAUUUAUGGUCAGGGCAAGUUGUAACUGCAUUUGAGAAUGUCAAUUAUUUGCUUGUUCAAGGCAUGUCACAUAUUUAUUGCCUCCGUUUAUAACUACUAUGGUCUAUGUAGAUGAAUAAAAUCAAACUCUAAACCGUUUUUACUGAAUGUAGAGCCGAUAUGUUGCACUAAUUUAAAAUACCAAGACUACUGCAAAAGAUUGUACAUGUAUUUUUUUUUCUACCAUACCUCAAAAUGUAUACGCUACUUAAUUUGCUUAGGUUUAAUUUAUGUAGUACCUCAAAGCAACACUUAAGGCAAUGCUGUAUAGAGACCCUAACUUACAUUUGCGGCAAUCACACAAUUUUUUUUCUGCAAUACUACGACUUUACAAAAGAAAUAGAUGGAAAGAGAAAACCGUAAUGGUAAGACUUCAGAUGUAGUUAUCCCCUCAGCAGUGCUUACUUCAAUAAAUAAUUGCCAGGAUAAGGAACCAGUUUUAUAAUGCACCAUUUAUGCUAACAUUGUAAAUCCAAGUUUAAUUUGACCACGACAACAGCCUUUUAUAAAAUUUGCAUAGUACUCAUUUAGUACCUAAUUUAACAGGUUGUUCAAAUCCAGCCAGCAUUUAAGUGACUGCGUGAAGGACCACUUGCCUGUUUCACACUGAACAAAGUAGACCCACGAAGCAAUGAUCAAUCACCUCAUUUCAGUAAAUGAAGCAAGAGCAAUUAAAUUUAAAGUGUCUAUCACAGAAAAAUAUGCAGGCCAUAAGACAUCAGAUUAUCUCCUCCCACCUCAACCAAAUAGAAAUGACCUGAACAAAGUACAUAAAGGCCAGCAGCACUUUUAUUAAGAUGUAAAAGGGAGGGUCACUUUAACAGUGUUAAAAAAAAAUUUAAAAAAAAGGAUAGAUAAAGUGCAUUGCUGGAGUCUUUCAUAAAAAUAGAACAGACAGAAAUAUUAAAACAAUGCUUGAUUACCUAAUGUACAAAUAUCUGGAUGUAUCAAGCAUAAAAGCUCAAUCCUUAAGGACUG